This 445-nucleotide ribosomal RNA is filed under the name uncultured Hyphomonadaceae bacterium. RNAcentral describes it as "bacterial SSU rRNA". It matches the Rfam family "Bacterial small subunit ribosomal RNA", at positions 335 to 798 of the family's 1533-position model. The record is from RNAcentral. Lineage: Bacteria; Pseudomonadati; Pseudomonadota; Alphaproteobacteria; Hyphomonadales; Hyphomonadaceae.
UGCCUACGGGGGGCUGCAGUGGGGAAUCUUGGACAAUGGGCGAAAGCCUGAUCCAGCCAUGCCGCGUGGAUGAUGAAGGCCCUAGGGUUGUAAAAUCCUUUCGUUGGGGACGAUAAUGACGGUACCCAAAGAAGAAGCUCCGGCUAACUUCGUGCCAGCAGCCGCGGUAAUACGAAGGGGGCUAGCGUUGUUCGGAUUUACUGGGCGUAAAGCGCGUGUAGGCGGGUCGUUAAGUUGGGGGUGAAAUCCCGAGGCUCAACCUCGGAACUGCCUUCAAAACUGGCGACCUGGACCCAAGUAGAGGCAAGUGGAAUUGCGAGUGUAGAGGUGAAAUUCGUAGAUAUUCGCAGGAACACCAGUGGCGAAGGCGACUUGCUGGACUUGUGGUGACGCUGAGACGCGAAAGCGUGGGGAGCAAACAGGAUUAGAUACCCUUGUAGUCCGC